RNAcentral lists this ribosomal RNA (253 nucleotides) under uncultured bacterium. RNAcentral describes it as "partial 16S ribosomal RNA". It matches the Rfam family "Bacterial small subunit ribosomal RNA", at positions 524 to 776 of the family's 1533-position model. The record is from RNAcentral.
UACAGAGGUCUCAAGCGUUGUUCGGAAUCACUGGGCGUAAAGGGCGCGUAGGCGGCCGAUCAAGUCGGGGGUGAAAGCCUGUGGCUCAACCACAGAAUUGCCUUCGAUACUGUUUGGCUUGAGACCGGAAGAGGUUAGUGGAACUGCGAGUGUAGAGGUGAAAUUCGUAGAUAUUCGCAAGAACACCAGUGGCGAAGGCGGCUGACUGGUCCGGUUCUGACGCUGAGGCGCGAAAGCGUGGGGAGCAAACAGG